Molecule: long non-coding RNA, 6584 nt
Filed under: Sus scrofa (pig)
Lineage: Eukaryota; Metazoa; Chordata; Mammalia; Artiodactyla; Suidae
Description: lncRNA (ENSSSCG00055019207.1)
Source: RNAcentral
CUGUCCCCGGGGAGCCAGCGGUGGGUGUGCCAGGCGCCACUGCCCUCGUCCACAUCCGCGCCGCUUGGACGUGGAAAGCGAGAAGGCGGAGCGCAUUGCCCUGGAGUCCCUGUGCCCCUCUCCCGGGGCCGCUGGGAUGUUCCGAGUCCAAGGAAUGGACCCUCUCUCUCCUGCCCGUGGCCUCCCACGGCUGGGGUCUCUGAACAGCGAGGACAGAUGGGGCAUCCUUUCCUCACCCCUCACCCGCCUUCCCAGGGGAUGUGCCCAGCCAUGGCCUCUCAGGGCAGGUGGAGCCCAGCGCGCCCUUUCUCCCUUGGUGCCCUGCGCUGCUGGCUCACCGGGUGUUAGAGCCGAUGGAGGAACGGGGCUCUGGGGUUGGGUCCUGGGCAGGGAUGGAGAUGGUGACAUUGUAGACGCAAUCAUCAUGGGUUAAGUGUCCCCAAAAGCAGAGCCUGAGACAGGGCUUGGUUACAGGGCGUCUGUCUGGCGGAAGAGCUCAGGAAGCAGAAGGCAGGGAAGGGGGUUGAUACCAGGAGGAACUGGGGGGGCUGCCCCAUUCUCCCUCCGAGGAGCCUGCCGUAGCCUCUGGGAUCGUGCCCCGGAAAGAAGGCAGCUGUGGCUCUGAGGGUCCCCAAGGGUGUUGGUCUCCUGUGCCUUUGUUUGGGCCGAGCUCGUGUGGGGACUGGGUGGGCCUGAGCAGACUCAAAUGACAUGGGGUCCAAAACAGACGCUGGCAGCCACGGUCAAGGUCAGAAAGACCAUGGUUUUCACCGCAAAAGCUCUAAAAUGGGAGCUCCGUCCCAUGCCCCGGGGAGUCCGGUUUUGUCUUCCCCACCAAUUACAUGUGGCAUUUUGAAUGGAAAGGGAAUAGAGGGGAAAUACCUUUUCAGGCAGACUUGAAUCCUCUCGGCUAAGAAGGUGCUUGAGCCGCGGGAGGGGCCUGAAUGAGUGUCAGGAGCCGAGGGCGGAGGUGGAGGCGAGGUGGUCUCCGCCACAUGCCGAGGGGACAGUGUAGGAGCUACUCCCCCAGGCUCCUUUGCUGCAGGAGCAGGUGACCAACGGGCCAAAUGAAGGGAUGAAUGGUACUGGUGGCCUCGUGUCCUUGCGGCUCAGCUCACGGUGUCACCCUCCAGGAACCCGUCUGUGCGCCGCUGCCUGUAGUCUCUCCUCCAGGUCCCUUCCCUGUUGACCUAAACCUCGGGCCCAGGGCAGCCGGCACGGCUCCUCGGGACUGUGGAAAGUAACAUGAUGUCUUUUCUAUUAAAGGAAAUCUUGGUUGCUCCAUUUUGAUCCGGUUUCAGCAGAAACACCCCUGCGACCCCGCUCCCUCCUUACUUCUCUCCCAGCAACAGUUUGUUUCAGAUUAGCCAACAGGUACAUCAUCUGCGUUAGGGGUCAACAGGGGAGGGUCCUUUGUUGGGCACGCACACUUUUUGAGCACCCGCGCCCUUCUGCAGAAGUAAAGAGCCUUGUCGAGAUUUCACCUUGUCCACGUGUCUCACUUUCCGACACUGGCGGCCCCAGCCAGAGUUAUUUUAAUUUCCACCAAAACCCUGGAUCAUGAAAGCCCCUUCCCUCCGCUUUUUGGGGAGCAGACACAUCCCACCAAAAAUGUUCUUUCUGACUCGCCUCUCCACCUGUGAGAUUUCAAUUUAAAACCUGAAGACAGCUGACGCGGCUUUUAACAGAUGAGUUCCCUGAAAUCAGCCAACACCUGUCAGGUCCCAUUGUACCUUUACAGAAAAUUAGAAAUGACUUCCCAGCAGGAAGACGGCGCCGAGCACAGCAGGACCUCUGCCUAGGGAACCUGGCGGCCUGGAGACAGUGCCAUCCGCUGGGCCACUAACCCCUUCUCUGCUUCUGAGACGUUUCGAACACGCUAGUCGUGUGCCCAUAACGUCGUCUUCACACUGAGGAGCUCAGGGCACAAAGGUCUCCCGCAGCGAGGAGAGCCGGUGGACGCUGCUCAGCGCGUGCCUGGCCCACGCCAGCGCUCGGCCCACGGCUGUCAUUAUCAUUUCUCCUGCUUCUUCUCUUCAUCCCUGCCUUGACAGAUGUGAGUUCAGAUCUGCUGCUUUACUGCUGUGUGGCUUAAGGUGAGUUCCCAAACCUCUCUGAGCCUCAUGGUUGUUUUCUCUUACGAGUGAAAUACGGCAGCACCUCCUGAAUUUGUUCCAGGGGCUGAGUGAGGUGGCCGCCUGUGCGCCCCUCACGUCGGUGCCCUUAGUAACCAUCACGCCCUCCCCGGCUUCCUGCCCAGUUCAUGUGCUCCCAGCUAGCAUGUGCUUUCUUUGGCCUGGCGUCGUCGUUAGCUGUCGAUGAUGAGCUGUAGUCCCAGGCGCCUUGGGAACACGAGUUGUCUGCUUUCCACCCCUGUAGCCAUGUGGAGGCCCAGCACAAACUGCCCAUUCAGUGGGCAUUUGAGGAGUGUGUUUGGUGGGUUUCCUCUGGUGGCAGGAAGGGACCGUGUCCAGUGCAACAGGGAAGGUAUUCGCUUUUGAGGAGCCACGUCCCUUUCUCUGAGUUGGGAGGGAGACUCAGGGCCCCGUUGUUGACUUGAGGGGCUGGGCCAUCACCUUUCUGCCGCUGCUCCCAUCCCGGCAGAAAAGCCUGAGCUCUGCCCUUGUCAGACAGGUGCACAAGCCCUGGGGAGGGAGUGGGGUGCGAGGCACUGGAAGCCUCAUGAAGGGACAUGGCAUUUGCCACCUGCCAGUGUCCCACUCCACGUGCCAUCUCUGCCAACAUCAGAAGACUGGAAUGAUGAGCAAGACUCUGCUUAGGGGUUCCCCGAAGGGGUGUGUGUGUGUUGGGGUCGGGGUGCUGUAUGUGUGAUGUGAUGUGUGUUGCUGUGGGUGGGGGGUGUGUGUUUGGUUGUGUGUGGGGGGUUGCUGUAUAUGUGAUGUGUGGGGCGUGUGUGUUUGGAUGUGUGGGGUAUGUGUUGCAUACAUGAUGUGUGUUGGUGCAUGUGGGGGUGUGAGUUUCGAUGUGUGGGGGGUGUGCUGUAAUGUGAUGUGUGUUGAUGCGUGUGUUGUGUAUGUGAUGUGUGUUGUGUGUGUCGGUGUGGGUGUGUCAGGUGUGUGAGUUCAGUGGCAGCAGGAAGGCUGGUCCGUAGGGGUCCCCAUACUUGGAGCCCCUUCCGAUCCUGCUUCGUGUGACUGCGGAAGUGUGUUCUCCAGUCACAGCGUGACUUAGGCCAUUAUUGACCGUGACCUAAACGUUCUCUGGGCAGAACGCGAGGGAGAGACUGCUGGUGCCACUUCUCUGUCAUCCACGGACCUCCAGUGAAGGAUUACUCGUUCCCUUCUUUUUGUGAAUUAGAACGUCUGUUGGCAAAUGAAAAUGCACCGAGUGUGAACGCGCAGCACAGAAAUAGCCCUGGCCCUGAGGAUCAGAUGCUCUCGCUGUGAAGGGCGAGUCCUCACCCCAAGGAGGAGUGGCAGGGAGGGGACUGCGCUGUCCCGCCCGUCGUGGGGGCGACGAGCCCAAAGUCAGAGCACUUACAGCAGCAAAGUCGAUGGAAAAAAGUUCUAAGUAACGUGUGAAAGCUCCUUCCCCCCAAAGACCUCUAAGGAAAUGGUUGGUAAUAUGAAGCCCUUCAGCGUUAUCUCGCCCAGUUUUUCUUCCUGUUUGUGUUGUGUUGUGUUUGGGGAAAAGAUAUCCUGGCUCAUCCUGUAACAGGAUGGCCAGCCGGGCAGCAGUCAUUUCUGGAAAUGGCUGGACCAGGGAGCUGUGAAAACAACUCUGGGGAAUAAACAGCUGCUGCUGACGGAAGCAUUUCUAAUCAUGAAGGUUUUUUUUAUUUUAUGGGCUGUUUCAUGUGUAGGUAGGUCAUGGGCUUGUCCUCUAAAGGUGAAGGACAGUGACCACUAGUAACAGAGAAAUGACGGAAAUUCCCGUUGUGGCUCAGUGGUUAACGAACCCGAUUAGCACUCAUGAGGACGUGGGUUCAGUUCCCUGGCCUCACUCAGUGGGUUGAGGAUCCGGCGUUGCCGUGACUGGUGGUGUAGGUCGCAGAUGCGGCUCGGAUCCCACGUUGCUGUGGCUGUGGUGUAGGCUGGUGGCUACAGCUCCGAUUAGACUCCUAGCCUGGGAACCUCCGAAUGCCGUGGGAACAGCCCUGGAAAAGNNNNNNNNNNNNNNNNNNNNNNGGGGAAGGAGAGAGAGAGAAAAGUGGCUUGGUCAUCCAGCUUUACCACGCUGCCCUUGGCUCUUACAGGAUGCUGCCAGCACACGCAGGUGUGAAAAGACAUCCUUUUAGACAAAGCAGUUUUCCUAAAAGCAGCUGUUCCCUAUGGCAGGCCUCCCAUCCGUGGGGAUAUUCGUGCUGGUUUUGUAGCGAAGGUUCCCCUUUAUCCCCCGCUGGAGAGACGGCACCUGUGUGCCAUCCCCGACGCAGUGGGUUCCAUUGUCUGUGUUCUGGGUGACGGGCCUCACAGAGAGGCCCCUGUCCCCUGCAGCGUGACCUGUGCUGUGCACCCCAGUAACUGGGCUGUGGCCCAAGGCCGCAUGCUGGGCACAGAGCCGUGUUCCUUCCGUUCCCCCCCCCCCCCCCCCCCCCCCCCCCCCCCCCCCGCCACCACUGACAGGAACUUUUCACUUGUUUCCUUGGAAGGAAUGAGAGUCCCCAGCGUGUACCUGUCAUUGCGCAGUGUCCUCUGCAGUGUCCUCCUCAGGGUUGGUUGAAGACACAGGUUUUCUGUGACCCUCCUGGCAGUGAGAGGUCCCCGUCUGUUUGCAGCCCUGAGCUCACGGCCACCACACACCUGUUUGCCUGGCUCUGUGGUGCCACCCAGGCCACUCUCUGCUUUAGUUCCAAGCAGCGCAGGGGCACCAGGUACCCUUCCUGGCUCAUCAGACGCCCCCUGCAGCUCCCUUGUGAUUCCGUGUUUCCUGCUCUGGCUCCCAUGUUCCCAAUUCCCAACGCAGAAUUCAGAAUCCUCUUCCAGGCCCAGCUCCCCACCCCCGGCCCCUGCGUGAGCCCGCACUGCUCCCUCCACCCCACCCAGACCCCUAAGUCCAGCCCCAUCCCUCUUGUUUGUGAAACCACCCAAGUGCCAGGUUUUGCACAACCAGCAGUGGUUUCUUCUCCUGGGGACACUCGGGCCUUGUUGGAUCUGGCUUGUUAUUCACUUGUCCAUUUGCCUUCCAAGGAAAUCAUACCCUUCCCGGGGCCAGAGUCUGGCUCUUAGACCCUGCGAGAGACCCGGGGCUGGUGUGGAGAGUGAGCUGAGCUGACCAGCCACUGCUGGCUUCAUCCAGGGAGGACACGGAGACAGAGACCCGGGGCUCAGUGUCAGGCCGACCAUGUGACCCCGGUGAGUCACCUGACCUCUCUCAGCAGGGCCAUGGGGACCAAGAAGGUCUGAGUGAGUCACCCCCACCCCCGCCCCCGCCCUCACUUAGCCCUGUGCAGCCACCCCCGCCCCGUGCCUUGGGCAGAGCGGAGGCGGUAACUUGUUACUGUUUCUAAAUGUGACCUGCCUCUCCUCACUGUCCCCGGCGUUUCCCUUCUCUCCCUCUACCUGUGUUCCCAACACUAAUCCAGGUGGACACACCUGCAGCAGCGGGAAUUCUCCGGGCACCGCCACACAUGGAUGCUAGGGACACGGCUAAGUGAGAGCUUGGCUCUCAGAAUAUAGCUCGUUGCCCUGCUGUCCCUGCAGGAAAUGUGUUCAUGUGUGACUUUCCAUUUGCGGCCACGCAGACCCCAGUGAGGUUUCUGCCGGCACCACCAGAAACAGUAAGAUUGAAGAUAGAUUUUUCUCUGAGAAGUGCAGAAUUCGAAUUUCUUUUUCCAACUCUUCCUGUUUGUAUUCUGUGUCCUGGUUUGUGCAGAAGAACCCGUAUCUGCCUCUGGUAGGCUUACUUUUCAAGCUCCGUUCAGCACAUGAUGUCAGACACCUCUAGAGGCACGCAGGGCACUGCAGAAGCCGUGGGCACAGGACCCCUGGCCUGGGGAGUGUGCUGCAGCUUCUCUGGAGAGAACACCUCUGAGGAACCCACCCACUGGGACGAAAGCCUCGGGAACCGGAAGCUCCCAGAGAAGUGAGCAGAGGGGCUGAGUGGGCCUGACUGUCUCUGAGGGGGAAUUGACAGCUUACCUUUGCCUGGGCCUUUGGUUAUGAUGAUAACUCGCAUUUUCUGUGCUCCUAGAACGUAGCUUUAUGUAACUGUCAUCAUAGCACCGGAGUAGCUCAGAUAGCAUUGUUUGCUUUUUCUUUUUUCUUUUAUUAUUGAAGUAGAGUUGAUUUACAAUGUUGUGUUUGUUUCAGGUAUCACGUAAGUGAUACAUACAUACACGGAUACUCUUUUUCAGAGUCUUUUCCCAUAAAGGUUAUUCCAAAAUAUUGAGUAUAGAAAUUCCUAUUGUGGCGCAGUGGAAAUGAAUCCGACUAGUAACCAUGAGGUUACGGGUUCGGUCCCUGGCCUCGCUCAGUGGGUUAAGGAUCCGACGUUGCCAUGAGCUGUGGUGUAAGUUGCAGACAUGGCUCGGAUCCUGCCCGGCGUUGCUGUGGCCAUGGCGUAGGCCAGCGGCUACAGCCUUGAUUCAACCCCUUGUCUGGAAACCUCCAUAUGCCGUGGGU